This 468-nucleotide ribosomal RNA is filed under the name Tetrix qinlingensis. RNAcentral's name for it is "partial 16S ribosomal RNA". It matches the Rfam family "Bacterial large subunit ribosomal RNA", at positions 1910 to 2589 of the family's 2925-position model. The record is from RNAcentral. Lineage: Eukaryota; Metazoa; Arthropoda; Insecta; Orthoptera; Tetrigidae.
CACUGAUUUAUUAAAGAGCCGCGGUAUUUUGACCGUGCAAAGGUAGCAUAAUCAUUAGUGUAUUAAUUGUAUACUGGAAUGAAAGGUUUGACGAGAAAUAUACUGUCUCUAUUAUAUUUUUAUAAUUUUACUUUCUAGUUAAAAGGCUGGGAUUUUUUUUUUGGACGAUAAGACCCUAUAGAGUUUGAUUUUAAAUAUUUUAUUAUUUUGGGUUAAGUUGUUAAUAAUUAAUUUUAUUGUUAGUUUUGUUGGGGUGAUGUGAAUAAUAAUUAAACUGUUCAUUAUUUUUAUCAUUGAUUUAUGUUUUUUAUGAUCUUAUAUUAUUGAUAUAAAGAUAAAAUUACCUUAGGGAUAACAGCGCAAUUAUCUUUGAGAGUCCUUAUUGACAAGAUAGAUUGUGACCUCGAUGUUGGAUUAAGAUUAUUUUUUAGGUGAAGGUGCUUAAUUUAGUUGGUCUGUUCGACCAUU